RNAcentral lists this ribosomal RNA (545 nucleotides) under uncultured bacterium. Its description in RNAcentral is "partial 16S ribosomal RNA". It matches the Rfam family "Bacterial small subunit ribosomal RNA", at positions 355 to 914 of the family's 1533-position model. The record is from RNAcentral.
UGGGGAAUAUUGGACAAUGGGCGCAAGCCUGAUCCAGCCAUGCCGCGUGAGUGAUGAAGGCCUUAGGGUUGUAAAGCUCUUUCGCCGGUGAAGAUAAUGACGGUAACCGGAGAAGAAGCCCCGGCUAACUUCGUGCCAGCAGCCGCGGUAAUACGAAGGGGGCUAGCGUUGCUCGGAAUCACUGGGCGUAAAGCGCACGUAGGCGGAUCGUUAAGUCAGGGGUGAAAUCCUGGAGCUCAACUCCAGAACUGCCCUUGAUACUGGCGAUCUCGAGUUCGAGAGAGGUUGGUGGAACUCCGAGUGUAGAGGUGAAAUUCGUAGAUAUUCGGAAGAACACCAGUGGCGAAGGCGGCCAACUGGCUCGAUACUGACGCUGAGGUGCGAAAGCGUGGGGAGCAAAACAGGAUUAGAUACCCUGGUAGUCCACGCCGUAAAACGAUGGAUGCUAGCCGUUGGGGGGUUUACCUCUCAGUGGCGCAGCUAACGCCUUAAAGCAUCCCGCCUGGGGAGUACGGUCGCAAGAUUAAAAACUUAAAUGAAUUGAC